ACAGAGGUGGCAACAGGAGUUCAGGAAACAGGACAAGAAUGGGAAGGAGUCAGAUGCAUAGCCUGGUGAGGCCCAGUUAUACACAGACCCAGAGUCCCUAUUAGUCACACAGUGAUGAAGUUGUUUGGUGCCACGGACACAGAACAACACAUAAUAGAACAGAUGUGGUAUCGCACCAUGUUAAAUGCAGACCAUUUAUGCAAAGGGUCUCAACGUUGGCACUAAUAACAUUAUGGGAUAAAUAAUUCUUUUUUUUUUUUUUCUUCUGGAGCUGAGGACCGAACCCAGGGCCUUGCGCUUGCUAGGCAAGCACUCUACCACUGAGCUAAAUCCCCAACCCAGGGAUAAAUAAUUCUGUCAUCACUAUCAUACACACCAAGUAAGCAGCUCCUCUGACUUCUGCCCACCAGAUGUCAAUAGCAAGCACAAUAUCACCGCCACCACUAAGCUGUGACAACCAAGACUGUCUCCACACAUUACCUAGUCAGUGUUUCCUAAGGGGCAAAAACUUCCCCUGGUUGAGGGUUACGGAUGCAGAUGCACACAGUGUUACAUGUAGGCAUACAAACAAAGGAUCACCUCUGGUUCCAUCUUCCCAAAUGUUCACAUACAAAGCUAUAUGUCACAGGGACAUUCACAGUCAUAUGGAGACAGGUCAUUCAGUCACAGAUACAUAGAGGUAGCAGCCACUACUACUUCCUCAGUCACAGGGAAAAAAGAGAAGAACUUGAGAUAAUUCCCUGAACCCAACUGUCUCAGGUUUUCCUAUAAUGUUUUUUUGGGGGGGAUGUUUUUGUUUUGGAGGCAGGUAGGGGGUUGAGACAGGCCUCACUGAGAAGCCCAGACAGGCCUGAAAAAUACUAUAUAGUCCAAGCUGGACUCAAAAUCUUCAUGAUCAUCCUGCCUCAGCCUUGCAUGUGCUGGAACUACACGACUUCCAACUUUAUAAUAAGUUUUUCUAUGCCUUGGACCCAAUCACUCCCUACUUCCCUGAGAACACCAGGUCCCUGGAAAUUGCUUCCCUAGCCUCCCAGAUCUGCAGUGAUCUGUCUCCAGCCCUUCAAGUGACAAUAAACCAGCUACGCUGGUGCACACCUGUAUCCAUGAAAUUGAGACAGGAAAACUCAAAGCUUGAACAGUUAGGACUACACAGCUAGACCCCAUCAAAAGAAAGAAAAGGGCCCUCACUCAUGUUCAUGUAAGCAACCCUAAUUAAACUCAUGGGGUCAAAGUCACACACUCAGACACACACACACACACACACACACA
Long non-coding RNA from Peromyscus californicus insignis, 1269 nucleotides. RefSeq lists it as uncharacterized. The transcript has 2 exons. Lineage: Eukaryota; Metazoa; Chordata; Mammalia; Rodentia; Cricetidae. The record is from RefSeq and is a predicted model, not a curated record.